RNAcentral lists this ribosomal RNA (213 nucleotides) under Triticum aestivum (bread wheat). RNAcentral describes it as "partial small subunit ribosomal RNA". The record is from RNAcentral. Lineage: Eukaryota; Viridiplantae; Streptophyta; Magnoliopsida; Poales; Poaceae.
AUGAGUGUUUUAAGCUGGAACUGCCGGGGGCUUGGGAACCCCAAGGCAGUUCGGGAGCUUCGCAGUAUAGUGAAGCUUGAAGGCCCCUCCCUUCUCUUUGUAAUGGAAACUAAAAUCAAAGCAAAAAGAGUUGAGGAUCUGAAGUUUACGCUUGGAAUUGCAGGCAGUUUUCCAGUUGACAGUGUUGGCCUUAGUGGCGGCAUAUGUCUUUUU